This 1164-nucleotide long non-coding RNA is filed under the name Mus musculus (house mouse). RNAcentral describes it as "RIKEN cDNA 3110056K07 gene, transcript variant 2 (3110056K07Rik)". The record is from RNAcentral. Lineage: Eukaryota; Metazoa; Chordata; Mammalia; Rodentia; Muridae.
ACGUUAUUGGAGGAUAGAGGAUUGAGUAAGAGAGCCCAAAAAUUUGAUUGGAGGAGCCGACUCCGGAUGUGCUUGACUGAACACUGAUUGGAGAACAAGGGGUCAGGAAGAGCAGUUCCGCACGAGGAUUGGGCGGUGGCGUGUCCCAUGGAAACGGAAUCCAGAACUGCAGCCAGGGUUUUUCACGGGGGCGGAGCCGGCUCUUCCCCAGGCGCCUGCGCCUAACCGGUUCCCCGGCGCCAUUUUGUCCCGGCAGCAGCAGCCCGCAGCUCUAUCCCAUUUUCUGUGUCUGGAGGGAAGGACGCGGACUCUCUCGGAGUUGUGCUGAAGACAACAGACACCUCCAUGACAACCCAAAGUAUCACAGAGGAAAUGAAAAGCUGUGGACUCAUUCAAAGUUAAUUAAGAUUAGGUAUGACCAUGGAAGACUUGUGUAUGACCAUGGAAGACUUCUAGAGAAUCUUGACUGGUGAUGUGGAAAAAGAGACCCAGAAGAACAAAAAAACAGGUGACUGUAAUGCUGGUCCCCCUGUGCAGGAACAGCUCAGGAGACUGUCGGAGACAUGAGUGUCCUUGUAGAAGCCAGCAGUCUUGUUGGCUGUCAGGUCCUCAGGACUUAGUAUUAUUACAUGUCAUCCUUUCAUGUGGCAUGAAUGAGGAUUUAUAAAGCCCUAUUACGGUUUGGUUAUGCAGUCCAAACAGACUUACAAAGAUUUACAGAUUAAUUUUACUGCUCAAGCAUAGAGCAGAGACUCCUCAUUAGCUAAUUUGUGCAUACUACACUUUCCGUACACGUGUUACUGCAAAAAUGUCCCUACAGUGUUACCAGAGCUGGGGCAGGAAGUAAGGGUGGAAUUCCUGAGCUCACUGACACUGAUGCUGAAGGAAGCAGGAGGUGGGCGGAGCUGGCAGUGGUGAGAGCCACGUGGAUACAUGGGAUGGUGGAGGAGUCAGGAAAAGUUAGUAGCUAGCUGAGACUGUCCUAGCAAAAGACCAACAGCUUUAUUUUCUUCAAAAUUUAAUAAUAAACUGUAGAAAUAAACUAUUUUGAAAGAGUAGUUCAUAGAUUCCAUUGAGAAUGUAAUUAAUUGACCUGUUUAGUAUUUUUUAUUGAAAAAAUAAAUUGAGAUUCUUUUUUUUUUUUUAAAAAAAAAAAAAAAAAAA